CCUACGGGGGGCAGCAGUCGAGAAUCAUUCACAAUGGGGGAAACCCUGAUGGUGCGACGCCGCGUGGGGGAAUGAAGGUCUUCGGAUUGUAAACCCCUGUCAUGUGGGAGCAAAUUAAAAAGAUCGUACCACACGAGGAAGAGACGGCUAACUCUGUGCCAGCAGCCGCGGUAAUACAGAGGUCUCAAGCGUUGUUCGGAAUCACUGGGCGUAAAGCGUGCGUAGGCUGUUUCGUAAGUCGUGUGUGAAAGGCGCGGGCUCAACCCGCGGACGGCACAUGAUACUGCGAGACUAGAGUAAUGGAGGGGGAACCGGAAUUCUCGGUGUAGCAGUGAAAUGCGUAGAUAUCGAGAGGAACACUCGUGGCGAAGGCGGGUUCCUGGACAGUAACUGACGCUGAGGCACGAAGGCCAGGGGAGCGAAAGGGAUUAGAUACCCUUGUAGUC
RNAcentral lists this ribosomal RNA (446 nucleotides) under uncultured bacterium. Its description in RNAcentral is "partial 16S ribosomal RNA". It matches the Rfam family "Bacterial small subunit ribosomal RNA", at positions 338 to 795 of the family's 1533-position model. The record is from RNAcentral.